RNAcentral lists this ribosomal RNA (253 nucleotides) under uncultured bacterium. RNAcentral's name for it is "partial 16S ribosomal RNA". It matches the Rfam family "Bacterial small subunit ribosomal RNA", at positions 524 to 776 of the family's 1533-position model. The record is from RNAcentral.
UACAGAGGGGGCAAGCGUUGUUCGGAAUUACUGGGCGUAAAGGGCGCGUAGGCGGCCUGCUAAGUCGAACGUGAAAUCCCUGGGCUCAACCCAGGAACUGCGUCCGAUACUGGUUGGCUUGAAUCCGGGAGAGGGACGUGGAAUUCCAGGUGUAGCGGUGAAAUGCGUAGAUAUCUGGAGGAACACCGGUGGCGAAGGCGACGUCCUGGACCGGUAUUGACGCUGAGGCGCGAAAGCCAGGGGAGCAAACAGG